AUCCCUGAAAGAAGAUCAGGUAGAUAGGUUUGGAGUGGAAGUAUGGCGACAUAUGGAGCGGACAAAUACUAAUCGAUCGAGGACUUAACCAAU
RNAcentral lists this ribosomal RNA (93 nucleotides) under Listeria booriae. Its description in RNAcentral is "partial 23S ribosomal RNA". It matches the Rfam family "Bacterial large subunit ribosomal RNA", at positions 2833 to 2925 of the family's 2925-position model. Lineage: Bacteria; Bacillati; Bacillota; Bacilli; Caryophanales; Listeriaceae. The record is from RNAcentral.